GGCGUGGGGGGCGGCUCUGUGGGAUUCAGCCCCCUGGAAACUGCCGGCCACUGGGGAAUCAAGAAGAAUCCUGAAGAAAAGGUUUCAUCUUGUCAGGAGCCAGUUCACAGGAAGUUCAAUACGUAGUCUUCUUGAAAGUAUGCAUCCUAGAAAUGGUCUGAUUUCAGCGUAGCACAUAGCUCAGGAAAGUCCAGGUUCUCCAGUGCAGUGGGUCUUUGACUCUGAAAUGUUGUCCAGCUGUACUGUUCAAAUUCCAGCAUAUGUCUCAGAGUCCCAAAUGUUGUGCAAAAACUGGUCUGGAAGACUUUCUGGCAGCAUAUGAGGAGUUAAAAAUAGGCAUGAACUUUGGACUUUGAAAAGCAGAAGAAGCAGUUCAUUUUUUUUUUGUUUUUGUUUCUAUGGCUUGCAUUCUGAUAACCUGCUAUGCCAAAAUAAGCUGAGUACCUGAACUAUGGAAACAGACUCUUCCUCCAAGAAGACACACACACAAGUUUUUGACACUUGUGCAAGAACUUGCCUAGCACCAUUUCAGUGGGCCUUGCUAGGUUUCUCCAUGUGGAGCAUGAGGAGGUGAGGACCAGGUACACAGCCCAGCAUGGGACUUGGCCCCAAGGUGCUCCUGCUGCUCUGUGGACCAGGGCUUUGUCUCAGAAGCAGGCCCCCAACAAGGCUGGAGGCCGGGCAGUGAGGGGAGCAUGAGGUUAUCUAUUAGAAACCAUUAGGCUUUUUGAGAUCGAAGUCGAUCCAAGAAAAUCCUAUUUUCACUUCAAAAAGAAUUCAAGAAUCACCUCUCUGGAACUGAAGGGAAACUUCUUGGAUUGUAUUUAGGGAGGAAGCUUUGUUUUCUUCAAAAUAAAUUAAGUUCUGAUAUACUUCCACUUGAGGCUUCUUUGGUUUGCAAGACCAUCCAUUUCUGCAGUUAUUCCAGACACUGUUUCUGCGUGUUCCUAUGUUUCUCAGUACUGUCUCAGUGUUCUAUGCACGUCUCUUUUUUCACAGAGGCUCCUUUCUUCUUUCAAGUAAAACUGUAUCCUGACCAGUAGAAGUCAAGAGUUACACAGCUCUUGAGUUCUAUUCCCUCAGUAGCCAAAUAGGCUGAGAUGAAUAAGGAACAGGCAUUAUUUCAGAUAAAAGAAAAAUUAACAAGAUUGGGACUGGUGUAUUUUGUUUUUGUAAGACUAAAGCUUUUUUCAGAAAUCUGCUCAACAACAACCACUUUCUUCAACAAUGUUUAACAGUAUCAUACAGCAACAGACCAAAGCUAGUUCAUUUGUAUGCAGAAGCACCCUUUAGUACACUCAGGCAAACAAAAUCACUUCCAGAAGACAGGAGGCCUCUGAAGUUAUCAUGAAGUAUCAAAGAGAUGAAAUUGACUGGGAAUUUAUGGGACAGAGUGAUGAAGAAGGCUCUUAAACUCCACUUGUAUAAACAGGGCAGUCAAGAGAUCACCUCAAGUACCUGUACACUUCUGCAUGCAGCUUUGGGAAAGAACCGGGAGGAACUGGCCAUCCACACACAGCCACAGGAUGAUGGCCUUGCUGGCAUGAAGGAGAUGUAGUGGAACAGCUCACAUCACCAGAGUGCUGCAAUGGCUGGAUAUAGGCUUGUAAGGAAAGAUGAGCAGAGAAGAGCAAAGGGCUUACUGUAUGCUGUGUAUAGGAAUGGAUCAAGGACAAGGAGCUGAGAUGUACAAGGAGGGUGAGACCUGACAAGAGAAGGAACUCAACAUGCAGACGUGAUGGUGAGUAUCUGCUACAAGAUGCCUGAUCAAGGGAUUGGAUGAAGUUGUCUUUAAACAAAGGAAGAUGUCUCCCAGUUGCACAUCUGAUCCUGAUGAGAUACUUAAACUACCCAGCAUCUAAUGGAAAGUGAAGAUGAAAGGCAAAAACAUUAUGUUUCUGGAGUGGUGCUCCACAUGAGAAAGGCUGUGUCUGGAGUUCUGGGUGCAGCUUUGGCCCUACUGUACAAGAGAGGUUGACAAACUGAAAACUCAGACACUAAAAUGGUUUGGGGGCUGAACACACAGCCUGAGGGACUUGGCUUUGUGCAAUGUGGAGAAGAGAAGGGAUAGAAAGGAUCUAAUUGUUUGUUUGUUUGUUUUUUCUACUACAUAAAUAGAGAUUAUAGAGAAGAUAGACUUAAACUGUUCCUAGAGGUGUACAGUGAAAGAACUGAAGGAAACAACUACAGUUUCCCCUUAUAUACAGCAAAGGAAACCUGACUGAAUGAGGAAAAAAAUCACAGUGAGGGCAGUUACACAGUGAAGGAAGCUGCUUAGAGAAGUUGUGGAAGCUCUGAGGUAUCCUUGGAGCAACCUGCUCUAAUGUUGAAGUUAGCUCUGCUUUAGGUGGGUGGUUGGAAGAGAUGAUCCGCAGAUGCCUCUUUCAAUGUACAAUAUUCAAGAUUAGGCCUUGAAUUAAAAUAUUUCUGUAUGUGUAGAUGGGCUGUUGCCUACAGUUUUGACAAGGCCUUCUGCAACUGGGUCUCAAACAAUAAGACUGUUUCAGUUGCUUUUUUCUUUGGUCAAGCCAGAAUUGUUAAAGCUGGAGUUGCCUAUGCUGAACUACUUCUUCAGGCUAGUGAUUUUUUCUAAGUCCCAUCAAAAGUAAUUCAGUCACUUCCAAAAACAACUGAGCAGAAAUGUGCAUUUUUUCUCUGAUACUAAAGAAAAUGUUUAUAACUAUUUAAUUAAAGCUGUGCUAUUUAGUAAUGUGUUCAAGUUUGGCAGCUUAGAAAAUCUGCACAAAGUUGGCCAAGUCAUGAGUGGCUUAGUUUACAUAAUUACAGAAGAGAUUUGUUGGCACUGAGUACUUGGUCUCCAGCAGUCUUUUUACAAUCAAUGUACUCUAUCUCAGCUUCAGAGAGGCAAGCAGAAAUUUUGGUAUACAAAAAGGUAUCCUGCAGGAACAAUGUGGUAAAGGAACAAAAAUCAUUGAUGCUGCAUGUAACACAACACUGGAGUUUGAGUAACAUAACUGAAUGGAGGCACAGAUAAAAAUUAAGACAGGGGGAGGUGAAAGGAAGGAGUCCUUACUCACAUUGUAAGUGAAGUGGGAGGAUUUAUGAACUCUAAAGUAUAUUGUUCUCCAGAAAUUGAAACCGAAUUUUUUGCUCAUUGCCUUCCUGUGAGUUCAUAACUUUAAAAAGGUAUUAAAUCUUUAAUCACACUAUGAUGUAACAAUUUCCAUUUUCCCUCACAGGAUUUCUGAAAAUAAUGGAUUCUGUUUAUUGAACAGACCAAGCACCUGAAAGAGACUGUAUCAAUGUCUUCAUUUGGAAAAAGAUGUGUACAAAAAGAGUUAGAUUACAGGAAGAAAAGCAUAGGUUUGAUGACAAGAGCAGUUGAAUAUAGCCCCAAAGAACUGAGUCCUGUCCCUGACUUCAUCUCUCCAUCUCCAUGUGAUUUGGGCAAGUUUCUUAACCCAGAUUUUUCACAAGUGCCAACAAUUUUCCAAGUUCCUUCCUACACAAAAUCUUGAUUUUAAGUUGCUUUGUGUAUCUGGCCUUAGGAUGAGAUGCCUGAUGCUCCCCAGGCAUAUAUUUCUAGUCCUUAUAGUCAGCUAGCUCAGAUGGAGUUUUUUCCAGUGCAGAUAGCUACAGUUUGAAGAAAUGAGUGCCACCUACAGAGCUUAAUUCAAAAAAAAUAAAAAAUAAAAAUAAAAAAUAAUAGUAAUAAAAAAAGAAUUAUCACAGCUACAGCAGAACACACUUGGGGCUGUAUAUAAACAGAGAAUCCUAGGGCAUGCUAAACAAUCUCUUAAAAAAAUCAACACCAGGUAUCACAUACCAGACCCUAAAUCUUUAGGUUCAUCUAUUUUGUUUUCCCAUUUAUAAAAUAAAACUCUUACUUCGGGGUUUUUGAGGAAAUGAACUAAUUCACAUUCAAAAAGCCACUUGAUACUGUGCUGCUGAGUGCCAUAAAGGGUGAGCAAAAAAAGGUAAAAUUAAUUAUUCUGCAUUUACAGCACAUUGCAGGGAAUGUGCAGUAAAUCAGACAUGGAGGCAUACAAAAGAAGAAUAUCUAAUUUUUCUCAUUAUAUAUAUAUACUAUAGUCAGGGUACAGUUAUAUUUUUCUGUUUCCAUGCAAUUAAUUACUCUAUUAUAAGAUACAGUGGGACUUAGGCUAUACACUU
Molecule: long non-coding RNA, 4134 nt
Organism: Oxyura jamaicensis (ruddy duck)
Lineage: Eukaryota; Metazoa; Chordata; Aves; Anseriformes; Anatidae
Exons: 11
Source: RefSeq, a predicted model, not a curated record